CUCUCUGGGUGACGAGCGGCGGACGGGUGAGUAAUGUCUGGGAAACUGCCUGAUGGAGGGGGAUAACUACUGGAAACGGUAGCUAAUACCGCAUGACCUCGCAAGAGCAAAGUGGGGGACCUUCGGGCCUCACGCCAUCGGAUGUGCCCAGAUGGGAUUAGCUAGUAGGUGGGGUAAUGGCUCACCUAGGCGACGAUCCCUAGCUGGUCUGAGAGGAUGACCAGCCACACUGGAACUGAGACACGGUCCAGACUCCUACGGGAGGCAGCAGUGGGGAAUAUUGCACAAUGGGCGCAAGCCUGAUGCAGCCAUGCCGCGUGUGUGAAGAAGGCCUUAGGGUUGUAAAGCACUUUCAGCGAGGAGGAAGGGUUCAGUGUUAAUAGCACUGUGCAUUGACGUUACUCGCAGAAGAAGCACCGGCUAACUCCGUGCCAGCAGCCGCGGUAAUACGGAGGGUGCAAGCGUUAAUCGGAAUUACUGGGCGUAAAGCGCACGCAGGCGGUUUGUUAAGUCAGAUGUGAAAUCCCCGAGCUUAACUUGGGAACUGCAUUUGAAACUGGCAAGCUAGAGUCUUGUAGAGGGGGGUAGAAUUCCAGGUGUAGCGGUGAAAUGCGUAGAGAUCUGGAGGAAUACCGGUGGCGAAGGCGGCCCCC
RNAcentral lists this ribosomal RNA (653 nucleotides) under Serratia sp. EECC-84. RNAcentral's name for it is "bacterial SSU rRNA". It matches the Rfam family "Bacterial small subunit ribosomal RNA", at positions 80 to 729 of the family's 1533-position model. Lineage: Bacteria; Pseudomonadati; Pseudomonadota; Gammaproteobacteria; Enterobacterales; Yersiniaceae. The record is from RNAcentral.